This is a long non-coding RNA of Sphaeramia orbicularis (orbiculate cardinalfish), 284 nucleotides long. RefSeq lists it as uncharacterized. The transcript is spliced from 3 exons. NCBI's taxonomy places the organism in Eukaryota, Metazoa, Chordata, Actinopteri, Kurtiformes, Apogonidae. The record is from RefSeq and is a predicted model, not a curated record.
CGAGUGGUUUUUCAUUCUUUCGAUUGUACACACAAAUUAAAAAUUGGAAAUAAGCAAAUGGACCAAAUGUGGGGUUUCAUGUUGACAUUUUUGAUAUCCAAUUUGGUUUGACCUGGAAGUUAUUGACUUCUUUAUGUGUUGAGUUGGACAGUCGUGGGUUUGCUGGUAUUCUGUCUAAUACAUUCUGCGAUAAUGGAGAAUUUGGUGUUAUUCAGAGGCAGCAAAUGCGUUACUGUGAAGGAGGAUGACAUGACAACUGUAAAAAUGGUCCAGAUCAAACAGAU